RNAcentral lists this ribosomal RNA (843 nucleotides) under uncultured fungus. RNAcentral's name for it is "SSU rRNA". It matches the Rfam family "Eukaryotic small subunit ribosomal RNA", at positions 425 to 1272 of the family's 1831-position model. Lineage: Eukaryota; Fungi. The record is from RNAcentral.
GCAGCAGGCGCGCAAAUUACCCAAUCCUCGACACGGGGAGGUAGUGACAAUAAAUACUGAUACAGGGCUCUUUUGGGUCUUGUAAUUGGAAUGAGUACAAUUUAAAUCCCUUAACGAGGAACAAUUGGAGGGCAAGUCUGGUGCCAGCAGCCGCGGUAAUUCCAGCUCCAAUAGCGUAUAUUAAAGUUGUUGCAGUUAAAAAGCUCGUAGUUGAACCUUGGGCCUGGCUGGCCGGUCCGCCUCACCGCGUGCACUGGUCCGGCCGGGCCUUUCCUUCUGGGGAGCCGCAUGCCCUUCACUGGGUGUGUCGGGGAACCAGGACUUUUACUUUGAAAAAAUUAGAGUGUUCAAAGCAGGCCUAUGCUCGAAUACUUAGCAUGGAAUAAUAGAAUAGGACGUGUGGUUCUAUUUUGUGGUUUCUAGGACCGCCGUAAUGAUUAAUAGGGAUAGUCCGGGGCAUCAGUAUUCAAUUGUCAGAGGUGAAAUUCUUGGAUUUAUUGAAGACUAACUACUGCGAAAGCAUUUGCCAAGGAUGUUUUCAUUAAUCAGUGAACGAAAGUUAGGGGAUCGAAGACGAUCAGAUACCGUCGUAGUCUUAACCAUAAACUAUGCCGACUAGGGAUCGGGCGAUGUUAUCUUUCUUGACUCGCUCGGCACCUUACGAGAAAUCAAAGUGUUUGGGUUCUGGGGGGAGUAUGGUCGCAAGGCUGAAACUUAAAGAAAUUGACGGAAGGGCACCACCAGGAGUGGAGCCUGCGGCUUAAUUUGACUCAACACGGGGAAACUCACCAGGUCCAGACACAUUAAGGAUUGACAGAUUGAGAGCUCUUUCACGAUUGUGUG